AUUGAACGCUGGCGGCAGGCCUAACACAUGCAAGUCGAGCGAGCGGCGGACGGGUGAGUAAUGUAUGGGGCUCUGCCCGAUAGAGGGGGAUAACUACUGGAAACGGUGGCUAAUACCGAAUACUAUCGGCUGAACCCAUAUGGGAUUAGGUAGUAGGUGGGGUAAAGGCUCACCAAGCCGACGAUCGCUAGCUGGACUGAGAGGAUGACCGGCCACACUGGUGCUGAGACACGGCCCAGACGCCUACGAGAGGCAGCAGUGGGGAAUAUUGCGCAAUGGGGGCAACCCUGACGCAGCCGUGCCGCGUGAAUGAAGAAGGCCUUCGGGUUGUAAAGUUCUUUCGGUAGCGAGGCGUUAACUACAGAAGAAGCACCGGCUAACUCCGUGCCAGCAGCCGCGGUAAUAC
This 406-nucleotide ribosomal RNA is filed under the name uncultured bacterium. Its description in RNAcentral is "partial 16S ribosomal RNA". It matches the Rfam family "Bacterial small subunit ribosomal RNA", at positions 30 to 526 of the family's 1533-position model. The record is from RNAcentral.